RNAcentral lists this ribosomal RNA (253 nucleotides) under uncultured bacterium. Its description in RNAcentral is "partial 16S ribosomal RNA". It matches the Rfam family "Bacterial small subunit ribosomal RNA", at positions 524 to 776 of the family's 1533-position model. The record is from RNAcentral.
UACAGAGGUCUCAAGCGUUGUUCGGAUUCAUUGGGCGUAAAGGGUGCGUAGGUGGCGCGCUAAGUCAGGUGUGAAAUUUCGGAGCUUAACUCCGAAACUGCAUUUGAUACUGGCGUGCUUGAGGACUGGAGAGGAGACUGGAAUUCAUGGUGUAGCAGUGAAAUGCGUAGAGAUCAUGAGGAAGACCAGUGGCGAAGGCGGGUCUCUGGACCACUACUGACGCUGAGGCGCGAAAGCUAGGGGAGCAAACAGG